CCCAGCUCUGGAAUUGCUGGAUCAUAUGGUGGGACCUGGAACUGAAGCUGACACAGGGGAAGACCGAGAAAGAGAGAGGGAAUAAAUUCAGCCCCAAACAUCAGCCAAUUACCCAGUACAACAAAGCUGGGGCUAAUUCUCUUACUACGUACUUCAGUAAUGUCACUCAAUAAAUUCUCCUUUCAAUCCCUAUAACAAUGGCUCAGUUAUUUCAAAAAAGCGUACAUAAAUCAC
Molecule: non-coding RNA, 234 nt
Organism: Vicugna pacos (alpaca)
Lineage: Eukaryota; Metazoa; Chordata; Mammalia; Artiodactyla; Camelidae
Source: RefSeq, a predicted model, not a curated record